This is a long non-coding RNA of Aptenodytes forsteri (emperor penguin), 374 nucleotides long. RefSeq lists it as uncharacterized. The record is from RefSeq and is a predicted model, not a curated record. The transcript has 2 exons. NCBI's taxonomy places the organism in Eukaryota, Metazoa, Chordata, Aves, Sphenisciformes, Spheniscidae.
UAUUUGGACAUAUCUGCACAUAUUUCCCACACAGGGUUUUUGCAUACCAGGUUUGAAAAACCAUGGACAUGGUGCAAGCUGAAGUUGACUUCUGCUGCAAACUAGUCAAAUGUGUUUGCACAACUUUUCUAGCAUUCUCCAGCCUCCCCAAAGCCUCACCACCAGAGAACAGUGUCUCCUUCAACCUCUGAUGCCAUCAGAAGAGGCUGUUCUUUAUGGGCAGCAUUCAAGGAGGAUCCGUGUCACUGGAACGAGAAUGAAGGUCCUCUCAUCACUUCACACGUUUUACAUUUCUCUUGGAAAAGUUAUCUUUCUGGGAAUCAUUGUUCCUCCACUUUUCAAAAAAGGAUAUCGAUAAAACUUGGAAAUUUGAA